Molecule: non-coding RNA, 27 nt
Filed under: Mus musculus (house mouse)
Lineage: Eukaryota; Metazoa; Chordata; Mammalia; Rodentia; Muridae
Source: RNAcentral
UGAUAAGAAAUCAGAACUACUGCCAGC